GUUGGUCUGCUCAGAAAGACAGAUCUCUACACCUGUUGCUGAUGAGGAGUUGGACCGUAUUGUAAGCGAAGUCCACAGAAGUGUCCAAACACCGGCUACAAGCUAAUGCGUGGACAUUUGAAUGCUAGAGGUGUGCGUGUUCCAAGAGCUAAAUGUUGCUGAUGAUCCAUGGUGUUGCCAUUUAUUAUUAUUUAUUUAUUAACACCCUAACACUAUCAAAAUACUUCUAAAUAUUUGAAACUCUGGUAUUUUUUUCCAGUAUUUCUCAGUUAGAUUUUUAAGUGUUUUUUUAAAUAAAUAGCAAAUGAGUGUAUGAUUAUUUUCUGCUCUAAAGUCUCAAGACUGAGAGUCUUUGCACAGAGUGGAUGCUGAGGGAGUGUACAUGAGACGUCUACGGCUGCAUGUAACAAGACGACGGCAGUAUUCUGUUCCUGGCCCAAACUCUUUAUGGCACAUAGAUGGUCACCACAAGCUUAUAAGGUGGAGAUUUGUUGUCCAUGGUGGGGUGGACGGAUUCAGUCGACUGGUGGUCUACCUGAAUGUGGCUGGCAAUAACAGGGCUAGCACUGUCCUACAGAGCUUUAUCAAUGCCGUUCAGCAGUACGGGCUGCCGUCAAGGGUACGGUCUGAUAAAGGAAGAGAGAAUUCAGACGUAGCAGAAUUCAUGAUCAGGAGCAGAGGUACCAACAGGAACUCUCACAUCACAGGCAGAAGUGUACACAAUCAGCGAAUAGAGAGGAUGUGGAGAGAUGUUUAUGAGCAUGCCCUAGACCUCUUCUAUCAGAUCUUCACUUCAUUGGAAGAUCAGGGAACACUCAAUCCAGACAACCAAGUCCAUCUUUAUGCCCUGCACCGGAUCUUCCUUCCCCAAAUUCAGAGAACCCUCAGCUCCUUCAGAGAUGCUUGGAACUUUCAUGGACUUAGAACUGAAAGGAAUCAAUCACCUAAUGAACUCUGGAGAAGAUACAGAGAGCAAGCCCCAUGGAGGAUCCUGCAGAGGUUAAAAAAAAGAUAGUAGUUUUACACUAUUAUUGAAACCUUUUGAAAAUAUAUUCAUAUUUUGUUGGUCAGGAGAUACAGGUGUUUGUCACUGAUGUUUAGCAGAUUUAUUUUUCCUCAAAUUUCUUAGAAGAAACAUUUCAGACAGAUGAUAAUUGGACCCACUAUAUUUGAAUAAAAGGGUUUCUGUUAUCACUUUGUUCUUGUUUUUGAAUGAAACAUGAGAAUCUCUUCUGUCUCCUGAGCUCUGACAGAACAACAUCUGAGCAGCAAAGUGCCUAAAACUUAAUUUGUCACCAACAUAAGGACCAAUGAUCAAUCUCAUGAAUCUUGUGUGAUGACAUGUCAUAGUAGUUUAAACAAUAUGUCAAUCAAGGUUAUCCUCUGUUCAGGUUUAUGAAGACUAUGGGAUCGACUGGAAUGGGCCUCACAAUCAGCAUGGAGACACUGUGUCAGUUCCUGAGAUUCAGAUGGCCCGUGAGCUCUCAGAUGAAGAGGUUGCCAUUUUGCCAGUUUCAGGAGUUUCUUUAAAUGAUGCAAUUGGAUCAUAUUUGGAGACAGUGCAAGUUUUGUCAAGAAUCAUUGGAGACUGAUAUCUUAAGCAGGCCUUUUAUUUUAUUUAUUGUGCAAAUGUCACUCAUGAAUUAGUUAACUUGAUUUGUCAAUAAAAAUCUGAAAUAAUAA
Molecule: non-coding RNA, 1683 nt
Organism: Labrus bergylta (ballan wrasse)
Lineage: Eukaryota; Metazoa; Chordata; Actinopteri; Labriformes; Labridae
Source: RefSeq, a predicted model, not a curated record